Molecule: small nuclear RNA, 316 nt
Filed under: Neogale vison (American mink)
Lineage: Eukaryota; Metazoa; Chordata; Mammalia; Carnivora; Mustelidae
Description: Neovison vison (American mink) 7SK RNA (ENSNVIG00000008391.1)
Rfam family: 7SK RNA
About the family: 7SK was discovered as an abundant small nuclear RNA in the mid-70s but a possible function has only recently been suggested. Two independent studies have found that 7SK RNA binds the CDK9/cyclin T complex (known as elongation factor P-TEFb).
Source: RNAcentral
AGAUGUGAGGGCGAUCUGGCUGUGACAUCUGUCAGCCCACUGAUCACCAGGGUUGAUUUGGCUGAUCUGGCUGGCUAGGUGGGUGUCCCCCUCCUCCCUCACUGCUUCAUGUGCAUCCCUUCUGAAGCUGCACACUCGGUCAAAGAGGGCAACCUUCCCCAAUAGAGGAGAGGACCAUUCUUCAGUCAAGGGUAUACAAAUAGCUGCGCUCCCCUUCUAGAACCUCCAAACAAGCUCUCAAGAACUUAUCAAACUCAACACCAAAGAACAAAUAAUUCAAUCAAGAAAUGGGCAGAAGACAUGAACAGACAUUUCU